AGUAGCCAGACAAGCAAAUAUAAAUGCCUCAAUCUGGUUUCAUCAAAACGUCUUAUAUGUAGGUAAGUUGUCCAACAGAUUCCUUUAUAUUGAGUUCUUACUGUGUUUCCCAGCAUCCAGCAAAAGGUAUCUUUUGCAGAUUACAACUGCUGUAGUGUUUUUUUAAGAGAAGAGCACUGUACAUGAAAUGACAAGAUGUAAGAUCAAUGGAUCAAGCCAUGAUAGGAAAUAAAGUGCAAGAUACCAUUACGAUAGCAUGGGUUAGAUUUAGGGGGAAGAAUAAAACAUACAUGUCAUUCAAAAUGCUUACACAGUAAAAAGUAACAAAUAAUAACUCCACGGUCCACAACAUUCCUUGCAACUCUAUCAUUGCAGAACAACACAGCAAAUAAAUAACCUGAUCUAGAAACAUAUUUUGAACUCUAAAUCCGACUCAAACUGAAAUAACAAACAGAGUCGUGUUCAAAACUCAUCCCAAUCAUCAAUGGAUAAGGAGUCAUUGCAGAAUUGACAAAAGAAAUUAAUCGAAUUCAGUCAAAACAAUUCAGUGAAAGAACCAAGUUAUGCAUACUAGAAGUCAGGGCAAAAAUUGAAAAAGAACUGAGAUAAGGAAGACCGAACCAAUUUUCUUUAACCCAAUGCCUAAAAAGCCAAUCACAAGCGACCAUAAUCCUGGAAAGUAGCUUGAAAAGAUCUCAACUUAGAGGAGUAAAAAACAGAAGAACACAAAAAAAUCAGAAAAUUCAAAACAACAAUAACCAAUAAUCCAUCACAAAUUGAGAGAAAAGUCUAAUUCGAAACAGAUGCACCCAAAAUCAAUAAAGAAACCCAAGAAAAUUCCCAACAGAUAUGGAGACCUCGAAUUACUUAAACAUCAAAUGAUUCAAAUCCUACGGAACAUAGUAGAUUAUACAAGAAAAUUACAAAGAAAUAACAAUAUGUUUAAUUUAAAUAUCAUAAACAUAAUUGGGAGAGACAUCCAAUCAAAAAAUAAAACUACAGGGACCACAGCUCAGGGCAAAAACUGAAAAAUAAAAUGAGAAAAGAAAAACUAAA
Molecule: long non-coding RNA, 1056 nt
Filed under: Phoenix dactylifera (date palm)
Lineage: Eukaryota; Viridiplantae; Streptophyta; Magnoliopsida; Arecales; Arecaceae
Description: long non-coding RNA (PDAC_LNC016175)
Source: RNAcentral